RNAcentral lists this transfer RNA (72 nucleotides) under Marmota monax (woodchuck). RNAcentral describes it as "tRNA.Ala". Lineage: Eukaryota; Metazoa; Chordata; Mammalia; Rodentia; Sciuridae. The record is from RNAcentral.
GGGGUUGUGGCUCAGCGGUAAAAGCACUCACCUAGCACGUGCGAGGCCCUGGGUUUGAUCCUCGGCACCACA